GAUGAACGCUGGCGGCGUGCCUAAUACAUGCAAGUCGAGCGAACAGACGAGGAGCUUGCUCCUCUGACGUUAGCGGCGGACGGGUGAGUAACACGUGGAUAACCUACCUAUAAGACUGGGAUAACUUCGGGAAACCGGAGCUAAUACCGGAUAAUAUAUUGAACCGCAUGGUUCAAUAGUGAAAGACGGUUUUGCUGUCACUUAUAGAUGGAUCCGCGCCGCAUUAGCUAGUUGGUAAGGUAACGGCUUACCAAGGCAACGAUGCGUAGCCGACCUGAGAGGGUGAUCGGCCACACUGGGACUGAGACACGGUCCAGACUCCUACGGGAGGCAGCAGUAGGGAAUCUUCCGCAAUGGGCGAAAGCCUGACGGAGCAACGCCGCGUGAGUGAUGAAGGUCUUCGGAUCGUAAAACUCUGUUAUUAGGGAAGAACAAAUGUGUAAGUAACGAUGCACGUCUUGACGGUACCUAAUCAGAAAGCCACGGCUAACUACGU
This 496-nucleotide ribosomal RNA is filed under the name uncultured bacterium. RNAcentral's name for it is "partial 16S ribosomal RNA". It matches the Rfam family "Bacterial small subunit ribosomal RNA", at positions 28 to 506 of the family's 1533-position model. The record is from RNAcentral.